This 4643-nucleotide long non-coding RNA is filed under the name Vigna radiata. RNAcentral's name for it is "long non-coding RNA (VRAD_LNC001476)". Lineage: Eukaryota; Viridiplantae; Streptophyta; Magnoliopsida; Fabales; Fabaceae. The record is from RNAcentral.
CUCCUUCCUUCGGAAGCUUCUUCCCUGCCUUCGGUUUUUUCUCAGCCGGAGCCUUCUCUCCUACGGUGGACUUCUUCUCCUCCGCCGGCUUCUUCUCCGCUGGCUUCUUAUCUGCCUUUGGUGCCAUAUCUAGGACAGAACUUUGAGCUCUGAAAUAAAUUAGGGUUUCGAAUUGGGAUUUCAGAAGCUUGGGGUGAGAGCAGAUGAUGUUGUGAAUAUUUUCUGAGUUUAAGAGGAAUGUAUAUAUAGGGGAAAGUUUUGUCUUCUGAUUGGCUAAUGGGAUUUGUUACGGAUCGAUGAGCUGGCGUUUUUAUGAGACUGUUGAUCAACGGCUGAGAUGUUGUUUUCACUUUUUAGUUUUUUUUGGUGUCUAAAUAUAUUCUUGUCCCACUGUUUUCCUUUAUAAUUAAGAUGAAAGGAAGACAGUUUUACAAUGGAAACUUAAGUUAUCCUUUUGAGUUUCAUCCAUGAAAAUACAUUUUCUUUUAAGAAAAAAAAACAUUUCUUUUAAGAAAAUCCACUGCUAUCUAAUAAAAAUAUGGAAUAAAUAGAACCAUUCUUGAAUUGUUUCCGUUAUUAUAUUAUUUUUGUUUAAAAAUAUAUAUUAUCUAAUUUCAUCAUCCUCCUAUCUUUCAAAUACUGUAUUUUUAUGAUGAUAAAAGUAAUUUAUUUUCUUUUAAAUUUUAAAUAUGAAGAAUUAUUAGUUAUGAUUUUAAAAAUAAUACUAAAUUAUUUUAUUUUUGGAAGAAUUACUGAUUUUAAAUUUCACAAUCAACAUCUUGUCAAAUUAGUGAAGGAAAUCAUAAAAUAAAGAAAAAAAAAUAAAGCUUGUAGGGUGACAUUUUCCAUCAACUUAUUAACAAAUAUAUAACAACAAUUCUUUCCAUCUUAUACUUGAAAUGAUUCAAGUCCUCUAAAUCAUGCUUUUACCCAAAGAAUAAAAUUAGAACAAUUAUUUAGUACCAUAAUCUUUAUUAAGUACCUUGGAGAUUACAAUAAAUAAAAUAAUUAGUGUGAUUCGAGAUAUAUCCUUUAUUCUCUAAUUACAUAAUGAUCAUAUAAUGUGUUGAAUGAAUAUGUUGAAUAUGUAAUAUCUUAUGUUGACAUUUGAUAUUGAGAUUUGCAAUAUCUUUCUCUUUUAUCUAUGGUUGAGGUAAAUAGUGGUGAAAUAACAUUCAAAAGAAUUUGAUGAUUAUGGAAACAAUUGAUUUUAAAUGUUAGCCAUUUGUGUAUAUAAAAAAUAUAAGGAAUCAUAUGAAAAAUGAGUCACAUGCAUGCAUUUGUGUUAUUUGCUUAUAAAAUGUAAUUUUAUUAUCACAUAGUGUUUUUUUGCAUUAAAACUUUCUUCUCUAAAUGAUAAAAUUUAGUUUUUUUAUUAUUACUAUAAGACUCUCUAUUUGGUAAUAGUCACUAAAUCUUAUGAAUAUAGAUUCACUCUUUAGGAUUGGUCUACUUUAUCUUUUGAAUAUUUCAAUUUUUUUAAAAUUUAAAAUUUUGAAUCGAUAUCCUCUACUUGAUAAUAGCCAUUGAAUCAUAUGAAUACAGAUUGGUCUACUUCAUCUUUUAAAAAUUUAUAGAUUUUAAAAAAAUUAAAAUUUUUGGUAAUGAUCAAUUAAUCCUAUGAAUAUAAAGCAUAGUUAGUUUUUUAAAGAUUUCAUGUUUUUCUAAAAUAUAAUUUUUUUUAUUGAAACCUUUGAUAAUAGUCACUUAAUCCUAUAAAUAUAGGUAAUCUCCUCGAUAUUGAUCCACUUCAUGUCUUAAAGAUUUCAAAUUUUUUCAAAGUUUAAAGUUUUUAGAUUAAGACCCUUUAUUUUAUAAUGGUUGUAGGAUAUAAACUCUUUCCUCGUUAUUGGUCUAGUUCACCUAAUUAUAUUCAGGAAUAUACUUGCAGCUCAAAUUACAAGUAAUACACAGCACCUAUAUAAAUUAAUUGAAAAUGAUAUUUUGACAUCAAUUUUUUAACACUAUUUUAAUAUUGUAUAUAUGUUAAAAUAUGGUUGGAUAAUUUCAAAUUAAAAAGAAAAACUUUGGUUUUUUUCUUCUAAACAUAUUUUUGUUUCAGUUUUUUUAAUUUGAAAUCAUCCAACCAUCACACAUAUGCAAUGUUAAAAUAAUGUGAAAAAUUGAUGUGAAAAUAUCAAACUACUUUAACCCAAUAAGCGAAUUCGCAAUCUUUCUUUUCACUCUUAGUCGUAAGGAACAGAAUAGCUUAGAAGCUUCUUGUUUCUUUCUAAGUCCGCGAAAAACACUUUAAUGUGUUUAAGAUAUUGAAAGUUCACAGUCAUGCAAUUAACGAAAGGCAACCCUCUUCUUUUCCCCUUAUCUAGAUUUCUGUGUGCGCGUCAUCAUUCAUCAGCCAAAUUGUUUGUCGCAGGUUUUCUCCAACUUCUUUCAGCUCUACUUUCUUUUCUAAAACCUAAUGUUAAUUGCUCAUUUUAGAGUUCUUGUAACUCAGUUCAAAUGUUCUGUUUUAACUGGGAGAUUUUUGGUUUUGUUUUGGAACGAAGGACUUUCCUGGGAUACCAAUGAAUCGAUUCUGAGAGAUGCCUUUGAAAAACAUGGGAAAAUCAUUGAAGGUUAAAUCUAAGAUCUUCUUUCAGUUUUUGGUUCCAAUUUGGUCAUACAACUAUGUUGAAAUUGCCCUAAAUUCUUCUAUUUUUCUUUUAUCAGUUAGAGUAAUAUGUGAUCAUGUGACUGCGAAAUCAAGAGGUUAUGGAUUUGUGCGGUUUGAUUCUGAAACUGCAGCUGAUACAGCUCGCAAAGAGAUGAAUGGCCAGGUUUUUAUUUUUUUGUUUCUCCUAUUUGUUUAAGAUGAAUUCAGUCUUUAUAUCACAAUCUUUGAAAAUAUGCAGACUUAUUGGCUGAAGAAGUUUGCUUCUAUGAUUGUUAUGUAUGAACCUUGCUCCUUAUUCUUUGACAGAUACUGGAUGGCAGACGCAUUCGGGUUACUUAUGCACACAAAGGCUAGGGACUAAGUCCGUCAAACAAUUCAUGGUUGAAGCAUUAUUAUCUAAGUUUUGCAUUGUGUCUUUCUUUGUGAAUUUCUGAGUUAUUCUUGUUUUAAGAUUAGAUAGUUCUGUUGUCCCAUUAUUAUUUGAAAACACAUGUUAUAUUCUGAGGACUUUGACAUCAUGGCCAAGUUGCGGUUUGAUUUUUCUUUUUCUUUUUGCCGUAAAAUGUUACUGAUGGCCAAAUGAUAAGUAAUGUGCACUGACAGUAACCAUUUGAAACUUACGUUUAGUUUUCCCAGUCUAUUCAUCUAACAAUCAUCAUUAUAAUUAAUUGGUCACUUAAAAAGUUUCUCAAUGUAUUUUGACCAUUACACAGAAUUCGCAGAUUCUGAAAAAAGGAAUGAUCAUUAACUGUUGUCAUUGACUUACAGAUUCUGGAAAAAUGAAUGAUAAUUUCCUGUUGUAGUUGAGUUACAAACCAUUAGAACUCAUAUACCGAAACUCCUUGAAUUACAAACUCUAAAUGCUGAUAUUUGAUAGCACUUCACAUUCAAACCAACAUGUGUCUUGGUUUUAGUUCUGAGAACAAUUCAAUUCAAACUACCACGUGCCUUGGCUCUUUGUUCAGGAAAAGAGAGUCAAAUCAUGUGUGGAAAGAUUGAAUUCUUAGGUUGUACCACUUUUGGAUUGUGUUAAUAGAUGUGGUCAUCCGUCUCUAUAAACAGAGAUAUUUGUUUUCAAGAUUUUAAGCUACCAAAUGUGAAGAGAAAAAACAUCAGUUGAUGAAUAAUCUCAAAAGCUUAAUGCAUCCCAAUUUAUCUAUCUUCAGAAAUAACUAUUUAUAUCUAAAAUUCAGUGCACACUAAACAAUAAGGUUCAAUCUUUGAAUAAAAACAACUAUUUGGAAUCCAAUUAUAAAACAUAUGAACAAAGGAAAUUAGAACAUGAUUUGGUAUCAAACACUUCUAUUGCAUCAAUUUAAUCAUUUCAAUACAUAGAGGCUGUGCACAAUCCCAUUUUUUUCAAUUUAAACUAAAACUAAAACCCUACAGGUUGAAAUCUAGGAUUAAAACAUUAGAUCCAAUAGAUACAACUAAUAAACAUAAGGGACCAGGAACACAGGUCAGAAAUAAGAUAACUUGUUCAAGAACUAGUGAACUUGGUAACAGCCUUGGUACCCUCAGAGACGGCAUGUUUGGCCAAUUCUCCAGGCAAUACAAGUCUGACCGCAGUUUGGAUUUCCCUUGAAGUGAUGGUGGGUUUCUUGUUGUAACGGGCAAGUCUAGAAGAUUCCUGGGCAAGCUUCUCGAAGAUGUCGUUGAUGAAACUGUUCAUGAUGCCCAUGGCCUUGCUGGAGAUACCAAUGUCAGGAUGAACCUGCUUCAAGACCUUGAAGAUGUAGAUCUUGUAUGUCUCCACACUCUUCUUGCUUCUCUUCUUCUUCUUGUCACCGCCAGCUCCUCCCUCCUUCGGAAGCUUCUUUCCUGCCUUAGGCUUCUUCUCCGCCGGAGCCUUGUCUCCUACUGUGGACUUCUUCUCCUCUGCAGGCUUCUUCUCUGCUGGCUUCUUCUCUGCCUUUGGUGCCAUAUCUAGAGCAGAAGUUGGUACUCUUGAAGAGAAUUAGGGUUUCGGAUUGAGAUUCAGAAAGCUUAAUGACGAAGCUAUUGAAGGUGUGAAUAAAGAAACUCUUGG